AAUUUAUUUGGUUGAUUUAAAGGAAAUGACAUGUCAACCAGCACAAACUGCUAUGUUUAAGGAUUUGUUGAGAGCUAUGCAAAAUCUUGGUAGGUAGCAAGCACAAGCGCCUUCUCAGAAUGUACAGACUAACUCCAACACCACAAGCUUGGUCGUGGAACAAUUUCAUCGUUAUUAGCCCUCUACUUUUAACAGGAUGGCUGGUCCUUUGGUAGUCGAGGAAUGGAUAAGGGAUUUGUAAUGGAUCUUCAAGCAUCUCGGCUAUAUUGAUGCCCAAAAGGUUUUAUGUGCGGAGUUCAUGCUAGUUGAUGUAGCGAGCAAUUGAUGGGAGUCCGUUUCCAGCACUAGGACUAAGGCACAACAAAGCAACCUUACUUGGGCAUGUUUCAAAGAUGAGGCGAUGGGAAAAUAUUUUCUACAAGCUUUGAGAGAUCGUAAGGAAAUGAAAUUUCCGCAACUUAAGCAAGGAAGGAUGGCAUUGAAUCAAUUCAAGAAAACACUGAAAAGGGCAAUCAGCGAUUUUAGCCAUUUUUAUGGGAAAACAUGUAGAAUACAAAAAAAAUAUUAUGGAUUAUUUUGAGUAGAACACAGAUAUAGUCACGACAAGAGAGAAAGAAUUUGGAGACGUGAAUUUCUUAUAUUCUGCCAGCUAUUAUUUCAUCAAUCAAUGUAGGAUACUAUGUGCAAGUUGAUCCGUCCUCGCAAUAUUAUAAUUUUUUUUUACACAAUUUAUUUCAUGAAAUGAUAAUUGACCUGUGGGUCUUAAAGAAAUGAAAUGUGAGAUCUCCUUC
This 791-nucleotide long non-coding RNA is filed under the name Olea europaea subsp. europaea. Lineage: Eukaryota; Viridiplantae; Streptophyta; Magnoliopsida; Lamiales; Oleaceae. The record is from RNAcentral.